RNAcentral lists this ribosomal RNA (460 nucleotides) under uncultured bacterium. RNAcentral's name for it is "partial 16S ribosomal RNA". It matches the Rfam family "Bacterial small subunit ribosomal RNA", at positions 338 to 795 of the family's 1533-position model. The record is from RNAcentral.
CCUACGGGUGGCAGCAGUGAGGAAUAUUGGUCAAUGGGCGAGAGCCUGAAGCAGCCACGCCGCGUGAAUGAUGACUGCCCUCUGGUUUGUAAACUUCUUUUAUAUAGGAAUAAAAUGUUCCACGUGAGUGUUUUUGUUUCUACCAUAUGAAUACGGAUCGCCUAACUCCCUGCCAGCCGCCGCGGUAAUACGGAGGAUCCGAGCGUUAGCCUGUUUUAUUUGGUUUACAGGGAGCGUAGGUGGUUUGUUAAGUCAGUUGUGAAAGUUUGCGGCUCAACCAUAAAAUUGCAGUUGAAACUGGCAGUCUUGAGUACAGUAGAGGGGGGCGGAAUUCGAGGUGUAGCGGUGAAAUGCUUAGAUAUAACGAAGAACUCCGAUUGCGAAGGCAGUUCACUGGACUGCAACUGACACUGAGGUUCGAAAGUGUGGGUAUCAAACAGGAUUAGAUACCCUUGUAGUC